RNAcentral lists this ribosomal RNA (405 nucleotides) under uncultured bacterium. RNAcentral's name for it is "partial 16S ribosomal RNA". It matches the Rfam family "Bacterial small subunit ribosomal RNA", at positions 28 to 526 of the family's 1533-position model. The record is from RNAcentral.
GACGAACGCUGGCGGCGUGCUUAACACAUGCAAGUCGAGCGGAGCGGCGAACGGGGGAGUAACGCGUGAGUAAAUGCCCCCCUCCCCGGGAUAACCGUUGGAAACGGCUGCUAAUAUCGGCUAGUGGGGGAUGACCCGCGGCCUAUCAGCGUGUUGGUGGUGUAGUAGCCUACCAAGGCGACGCCGGGUAGCCGGACUGGGAGGGCGACCGGCCACAUUGGGCUGAGAUACGGCCCAAACUCCUACGGGAGGCAGCAGUGGGAAGUAGUGCACAAGGGGGGAAACCCUGAUGCAGCAACGCCGCGUGCGGGAUGACGGCCUUCGGGUUGUAAACCGCUUUCAGCCAUGACGCGGUAGUGGCAGAAGAAGCACCGGCUAACUACGUGCCAGCAGCCGCGGUAAUUC